GAGGUAGAACUGCCGAACCACUUUCCAGUCAGUUGCUCUCAGAGCAAAAUUGGGAGACAAACAUGACACAUUGGCUUCAAUUUGUUUUUGUUUCAGCAGUUUUGGGAGGUAAUUUUAUUCCUUCUUUGAACAAAGAUGACUAGUAUAAUCCAGGGCUUAAUAUGUAGCAGAUCCUUUAAAUAUGGCUUUCCUCCUUUUCUAGGUGUCCAAUCAGCAGUCCAGCUGGUAGAGUCUGGAGGGGAUGUCAAAAGACCUGGAGAGUCCCUCCGCCUCUCUUGUCGAGCUUCUGGCUUCGACUUCAGCAGCUAUCCCAUGGCCUGGGUGCGACAGGCUCCUGGAAAGGGACUAGAAUGGGUUUCAUGGAUAAGCAGUGGGGGAGGCUCACAAUAUUAUGCAGACUCAGUGAAAGGGCGCUUCACCAUCUCCAGAGACAACCCUUCAAACAUGCUGUAUCUACAAAUGAACAGCUUGAAAUCAGAGGACACUGCUGUUUAUUACUGUGCAAGAAGCACAGUGAAAGGAAGUGAAUCUGAUGCCAGACAAAAACCUUCCUUCGCCAGCUGUCUGGACUAGUUAAGCUGCAACCACAAAAAACCAAAUGAAAAAUCUGAAGAAAGAAGAUAAACUGAAGAUAAAUUGUCUUGAUUUUGUUGACACAAAUGAGGCACCAUGCCUAUUGUUCAAAAUGGAAUGUUCAGAAAAAGCCUAGCCUGCAUUCAGACACCACUUUAUUCUAUUUCCCCAGCAAUUCAUUUCCUAACUUAGAUCCACUUCUUAUGUGAUCUUUUAUGCAGUGCAAAAUUCAAUUCUGGUAAUCUAGCAGAAUCUUGUUGAUGUUCAGUACUCGUUCCUAUAUUUAUUGUUUCCAUGAUAUGUGUGUUUGCAUGAUUGCAGCUCCUUUAGCUCAGAAUAUUGUGGCAGAUUUCAGGUAUAAUUUCCCCAUUGUUUUAAUGGCUUACAUGAUGUGAUGAAAUUUGAGGAAGAAUUUUCAAAUACCAUGUUAGCCUGUUUUGGUGGGGAUAGAGAUGGACUGUUUAAAUCCACUUUACCACACAGUUUCCCUGGCUCCAACUUUGCAAUCCCACCUUUCUGCUCUGUGUGUAUAGUCAUACCUCAUGUUAGGUUUGCUUCAUGAUACGUUUUUUUCAGGUUGCGUCCUGCAGCGACCCGGAAGUACUGGAAAGGGUUACUUCUGGGUUUCGCUGCUCGCACAUGCGCAGACAAGCAAAAUGAUGUCAAGCACAUGCGCAGAAUUGGUGAAUCGCGGCUCACGCGUGCGUAGAUGUGCCACUGCAGGUUGCGUUCAUUUAAGGUUGCAUUCAUUUAACCUGCACUGUCAGUGGGGAUUCUGUCAAGAAUAAGUACUGGGACUGAGUCCGACAGGCUCCUGGAAAAGGACUGGAAUGGAUGGGCCAGAUAGAUUGGGAUAGCAAAUGGAGAUUAUUCCACAGCCCAUCUCUCCAAGGCCGAAUCACCCUGAGUGCCAAUUCCUCCAGAAAUACAUAUGACCUGGAGCUGAGAUCUGUGACAGGUGCAGACACGGCUAUAUAUUACUGCGCGUCUGAAGCACGGUUAGAGAAACCAAAGGCUAGAGGCAUCUCUUACUGGGUGAAAUGUAGGAGCAUCUCCUAAAAUUAUUUCCAUUUCUCACAUGGGGGCACCAGUGAUUUAAAGACUAAGAAGUCAUCGACCACAACUGAAAUAAAGUCUAAAAUGAAGCCUAGUGUGAUGUUUUGUGGUUACAGCUGUGAGGCUAUUGUUUCCUCAGCUGCCUCAACUGCAUAAGAGUUUGAUUCCCCGAGAGACAUUCUCACAACUUUCUAUUUAGAACUAAAAAAAAUUGCCAUUACCACCCCAACCAUCAUUUCCCAAUGUAUACACUAGGCAGAAUUUCUAUUUUAUUACAUACUUUCCAGCUCUGUAGCUCAUACUCCAAGUAUGAGUAGAAAGCAGAAAGGGGGUUACAAAUCUCUGUAAACAUUGUACUGUAAUAUAUGUCUUGUUGGCCUUAGAUGUCCAUGGCAAUGUCCAGCUUAUGGAAUCUGGACCAGAGACUGUGAAUCCUGGAGUGACUCUGAGACUAAUCUGCACUAUCACUUGAGAUUUUGUCAGUAAUGUUGACUGGGAAUGGAUCCGACAGGCUCCUAGAAAAGGACAGAAAUGGAUAAGCCUGAUAUACAUCGGAGUGGCAACUCAUGGCAUGUUCAAGUAGAAGGGGAUGGGGAUUGGGGAUGCAUCAAGCCACCAUCAGCUGGGCAUACAGCCCUGGCAGCCAGUGAAGAUACAUGCCCACUGUGACUGCUGCUGCUUUCCUGCUGACUGAGAAAAGCAGCUCUGCCUCAGUGCCAGGAGAAAGUAGUGCCACAGUGCCUUGAAGUGAGAGCGAUCAGCUGCCCAGUUCUCUAUCAGCGUGAGGGGAAAGCAACACCUAGAAUCAUAGAAUCAUAGAGUUGGAAGAGACCACAAGGGCCAUCGAGUCCAACCCCCUGCCAAGCAGGAAACACCAUCAGAGCAUUCCUGACAUAUGGUUGUCAAGCCUCUGCUUAAAGACCUCCAAAGAAGGAGACUCCACCACACUCCUUGGCAGCAAAUUCCACUGUCGAACAGCUCUUACUGUCAGGAAGUUCUUCCUAAUGUUUAGGUGGAAUCUUCUUUCUUGUAGUUUGGAUCCAUUGCUCCGUGUCCGCUUCUCUGGAGCAGCAGAAAACAACCUUCUUCUGCUUCUGCUUCUUGCUUCCUGUAUAGGUAUGUGAAAAUAAUAGGACAAAAUGGGCGUGGGGAGGAGAAAGGCCAUGCAUCUAUCUCCACCUCAGAUCAAAGAAAAAGAAGCCUUGACAGCACUCAGUUCCACAUGCUGUGGUACAGGUUUAUUGAAAGCCCGGUUCCCAAGCAGAGCAAGUGAUUAAGGCAGGAGGGUCCUGUCCAGGAAACAAGGCCACACAAGAACAAGGAAGUUCUGCCCUUAGCAACUCAAGUCCUAGAGGGUAUGUGCAAAAUGCUUUGAGGGUUCAGUUAUGGAGAGAAAUUAAAAAAUGACACUUUGGUUUUUCUAGGGUUAGGAAAAGCAUGCCCAUUAGUAACAUUUUAUAUUGCAUAAGUAUAUAAUAGUUUUUUGCUAAUCAAGUAAAUAAAAUACAAAGGUAUCUAUACUAAGAAGGGGCGCACCCCUGGUCUUUUCUUUCUGGCAGCAUAUCAGCACUGAAAGCUUUUGGAAAAGUUUGGAGAGUGGGGCACUGAACUAUCCUUCUUUAAACUAUUCUUGAUGCUUGCCCAUCUGAAAGAGGGUCAACAAACAGGAUCUGCGACUUCUGAUCUAUAUUUUAUUGAACAUUUAAGAUACAUCUGCCUUCCUCCCUCCUGCUUUAAACUCAUACUUACAGGCCCAUUCCAGCCUAUAAAUCUGGGUAACAAUCUCCCAAGUUUUAUCUAUUCUCUAUGUACAAGAAACAAUUGCCAAAAGGCACAGUGAGAGGAUGUGAAUCUGAAAUCCGGGAAAAAACCUGUUUGCCUUCUCACCAGAAAUAAGUCUUGAGUCAAACUAUUAUAAGAGCAAACAGGGGAGAUUCACUAAAAUAUAUAAAAUAAUUGGAUCUGCAAUUCAAACAACCUGAACCAAUUAACCAAGUCACAAUGCACAUGCAGGUGAGUUUUAAUCAAUGGGGUUAUAUAAGCCCCCCCCCCUUUUCUGACCAAUUUUACAGCCACAUACUGUGAUCAUAUAGCAAGGCUAGCACACUGCGAGAGGUGGAGCCAACUUGUCUCUGCCUAAGCCUGUUCCCACACACCUAGUAAAGUUCACACUGCUAAUUUCGGGGGGAUUAAGUUGUGACCCUUCCUUCCUUCAUCAUUUGUGUUGUAUUGAGAGUAUUAUUAUUAUUGGGCACAUGGAAUCCUUAGGAUGAAUGAAAGCUCACUCUUGUUUUCAAAUAACAAUCACCCAAAACAAAAAUGUGGUUCAAAAGCUUUACUUUAGCACUUAACUUUAAAACAAAUUUAAAAAUAAACACGUGUUAAAUAAAUAAAUAAAGUUGAUCUGAUGGGGGACGUAUCAGGAUUCCCUUGAAGACAGCAGGUGUGGCCGGUGCCAGGGACCAACUCCUUUUUGAGUCCUAAGGAAAAGUGCGACAUUCUGGGAUCAAAUCAGGAACCAGGAGGGCUUUUGUGAAUUCUUGACUGUAAAACAGAACACUUGAAGGGUCAGCAAGUCAUGUGUUUUGUAUAAGGCUAAACAGAUCUGCUCCAUCAAAGACCAGUGUUGCUCUUUUAUCCUGAGCUGCAUGUAAAUGCAGAGGCAGCUUCCUCUUUAAAGCAGUAGCACACUCUCUGCCCAGCCUACAGCCAGAGGUAGAACUGCCGAACCACUUUCCAGUCAGUUCCUCUCAGAGCAAAAUUGGGAGACAAAAAUGACACAUUGGCUUCAAUUUGUUUUUGUUUCAGCAGUUUUGGGAGGUAAUUUUAUUCCUUCUUUGAACAAAGAUGACUAGUAUAAUCCAGGGCUUCAUAUGUAGCAGAUCCUUUAAAUAUGGCUUUCCCCCCUUUCUAGGUGUCCAAUCAGCAGUCCAGCUGGUAGAAUCUGGAGGGGAUGUCAAAAGGCCUGGAGAGUCCCUCCGCCUCUCCUGUCAAGCUUCUGGAUUCACCUUCAGCAGCUAUGGCAUGAACUGGGUGCGACAGGCUCCUGGAAAGGGACUGGAAUGGGUUGCAAGAAUCUGGUCUGAUGGUAGCCAACAAUAUUAUGCAGACUCAGUGAAAGGGCGCUUCACCAUCUCCAGAGACAACCCUUCAAACAUGCUGUAUCUACAAAUGAACAGCUUGAAAUCAGAGGACACUGCUGUUUAUUACUGUGCAAGAAGCACAGUGAAAGGAAGUGAAUCUGAAGCUAGACAAAAACCUUCCUUCGCCAGCUGUCUGGACUGGUUAAGCUGCAACCACAGAAAACUAAAUGAAAAAUCUGACACAAAUGAAACUAAAUGAAAAAUUUGACACAAAUGAGGCACCAUGCCUAUUGUUCAAAAUGGAAUGUUCAGAGAAAGCCUAGGCUGCAUUCAGACACCACUUUAUUCUAUUUCCCCAGCAAUUCAUUUCCUAAUAAGAUCUACUUCUUAUGUGAUCUUUUAUGCAGUGCAAAAUUCAAUUCUGGUAAUCUAGCAGAAUCUUGUUGAUGUUCAGUACUCAUUGCUAUAUUUCUUGUUUCCAUGAUAUGUGUGUUUGCAUGAUUGCAGCUCCUUUAGCUCAGAAUAUUGUGGCAGAUUUAAGGUAUAAUUUCCCCAUUGUUUUAAUGGCUUACAUGAUGUGAUGAAAUUUGGGGAUGAAUUUUCAAAUACCAUGUUAGCCUGUUUUGGUGGGGAUAGAUAUGGACUGUUUAAGUCCACUUGGCCCCACAGUUUCCCUGUCUCCAACUUUGCAAUCCCACCUUUCUGCUCUGUGUGUAUAUGAAGCAGUGUAGGACUUAAUGUUCCUGGCAGACAAUCAGUGCAAUUGACACAGUGGGAGAGUUGAGUUAUAUUGGUUGGAAAUAAAAGCAAGCGGUUUUAUGACCUGAUGACUGAGCACACAGACUUGAGCAUAGCUGGAAUAUAGCAGGGUCACUUUCAUUAUUCCUUUUAUACUAAUAUCAAAUUUCUAUACCACCCCUCAUCUGAAAAUCACAGUAUGGCUCACAUUGGCAGUGUGUGGCCCCAGCCAACAUGAAGGCUUGUAAAAAUUCCUCUUCCUGCUGCUUUCUGGUUGUGGGAAAGCAAGGGACCCAUAAAAGGGUGUGUGUGACCAAGAGGACUUCUUUAAAUGAUGGACCCACUUCCCACUGGUGGACGCAGAGCUUUGAGCAUAUCCUCAGUUUGGAUCACCUCUCUUUAUCUGAUUCCCACCACUAGAUGCAAAGUUUAUGCAAAUUCCUGUCCAAAAAGCUUUCUAUUUAAAUAGCUCCACCCACACCAAGUCUUCAGAUGCUCAGCUGGACCAAAUUCAGCUGUCAAUCCAGAGGGAGGAGUUUCUCUCUGCAAACAAUGAAGGCCCCCUUUCUUUUCCUUUCUUUGUUAGCUGUGCCGCUCUGUGAGUAUCUUCCAGAGAAACAUUUAAAAAAUCAAAUGUUACAGAUGGACAAAUUACAUGGUAACCAAAGUCUUGUUGUUUUCUUUAGAUGUCCACUGCAGUGUCCAGCUUGUGGAAUCUGGACCAAGGGUUGUGAAUCCAGGAGGGUCCCUGAGACUAACCUGCACUGUCACUGGGGAUUCUGUCAAGAAUAAUUACUGGGAAUGGGCCCGACAGGCUCCCGGAAAAGGACUGGAAUGGAUGGGCCAGAUAUACUGGGUUAUCCUCAAAUGGAGCUUAUACUACCACCCAUCACUCCAAGACCAAAUCACUGUGACUGCCGAUUCCUCCAGAAAUACAUAUGACCUGGAACUGAUAUCUGUGACAGAUGCAGACACGGCUAUAUAUUAUUGUGCCCGCAAGACACACAGUGACAUAAACCAAAGGAGAAACUGUAUAAAAGGGCAGAAGCAUCUGUUACUGGGGUGAAGUGUAGGAGCAUCUCCUAAGAUUCUUUCUGUUUCUCACAAGGGGGCAGCAGUGAUUUAAGGACUAAGAAGCUAUUGAACACAACUGAAAUAAAGCCUUGUGAGAUGUUUUGUGGUUACAGCUGCAUGACUGACUACUGUUUUCUCAGCUGCCUCAACUUCACUGGCUGCAUGAGAGUUUGAUUCCAAAACCGAAUCGCACAGUACUAAAACAGACUAUUAAACUUGUGAUAUUACCAUACAAAAAUCCCCCCCCCCCAAAAAAAAGUUGAGGGGUAGGCAAGGGAUGGGCCUGCGGACCUUCUAGGUAUAUUCUGAGGACCCACAGGUGUCCGCAGAACUCUAAUUGUGAACCACCGCAUCAAGCAAUAGAGAGUUCAUAUGACAGAAAUCGGUCCAAGCACAUAUACACAAACAUUUUUUUAUUAGUCAUCUGCAUAGAAUUUAUGCAUAAAGAGUCACACCACAGCUUUUCUUACUUUAUAGCAGACUGACCCAAGUACACUGAAACCUAUUUCAGAAUAUGGAUAAAGAAUGCAUGUACAAUUUAUGAAAUUGCCAUACCCAGAUGAUAAAAUAAGUGCAAAAAUCAGAGGCAGACUGUGUUCUUUCAAAUUUCAGUGGUGCCCUGGGUAAGUCCAAAAUUUGGUGGCCUCAACCUCUCACCUUCCCUUCUGCUCAAUUCACUAUAGAUAGAUAGAGGAUAGAUAGAUAGACAGAUAAAGUAUAUUUGCAUUAGCCAACAGCCAUAGCAACAUAAAACAAGCAAUAUAUACAAUUAAAAAAGACAACAAUGGGUAAAAAGUACAAUCAAAUGACCAAGAUUAUUGUUCAGAUAAAAGCUAAAGGGACCCCUGACCAUUAGGUCCAGUCGUGACCGACUCUGGGGUUUCAGCGCUCAUCUCCCUUUAUUGGCUGAGGGAGCCAGUGUUUGUCCGCAGACAGCUUCCGGAUCAUCAUAAUAAUAAUAAUAAAUUUUAUUUAUAUCCCGCCCUCCCCAGCCGAAGCCGGGCUCAGGGCGGCUAACAACAAUAAAACAGUACAAAAGUACAGCACAAACAACACUCUAAAAUCAUUCAUUAUAAAAUUAAUUAAUUCAAGCCACUGGCAACCAUUGGGCCAGAGCUCCCCGAAGAUUGCCGAGGGAGGGAGUCAGGCUGUGCCCUGGCCAAAGGCCUGGUGGAACAGCUCUGUCUUGCAGGCCCUGUGGAAAGAUGUCAAGUCCCGCAGGGCCCUGGUCUCUUGUGACAGAGUGUUCCACCAGAUCGGAGCCACGGCCGAAAAGCCCUGGCUCUAGUUGAGGCCAGCCUAACUUCUCUGUGGCCUGGGACCUUCAAGAUGUUUUUAUUUGAAGACCGUAAGUUUCUCUGUGGGGCAUACCAGGAGAGGAGGUCCCGUAGGUACGAGGGUCCUAGGCCGUGUAGGGCUUUAAAGGUUAAAACCAGCACCUUUAACCUGAUCCUGUACUCCACCGGGAGCCAGUGCAGCUGGUAUAGCACCGGGUGAAUGUGAUCUCGCAGCGAAGACCCCGUAAGGAGUCUUGCUGCAGCAUUCUGCACCCGCUGGAGUUUCUGGGCCAGUCUCAAGGGCAGCCCCACGUAGAGCGAGUUACAAUAAUCCAGUCUGGAGGUGAUCGUCGUGUGGAUCACAGCUGCAAUCUGCGCCUCCAUGGAAAGUGAGGUGUCGAAGAUUACACCCAAACACUUAACGGACGGUGCUGGCACUAAUUGCACCCCCACAAGAGAUGGGAGUUGCCCCCCCAAUCCCAUAUCAUGUGGCCAGCAUAACUAAGCCGCUUCUGGCGAACCAGAGCAGCGCACGGAAAUGCCGUUUACCUUCCCGCUGGAGCGGUCCCUAUUUAUCUACUUGCACUUUGAUGUGCUUUCGAACUGCUAGGUUGGCAGGAGCUGGGACCGAGCAACAGGAGCUCACCGCAUCGUGGGGAUUCGAACCACCAACCUUCUGAUCGGCAAAUCCUAGGCUCUGUGGUUUAACCUACAGCGCCACCCGUGUCCCUAUCGUUCAGAUAGUUGCCCUUAAUAUCAUUGCACCCUUGAUAAACCUAGCAACCUUUGCUGUUGUCUGAUCAUUUUGAUCUGAUAAAAGAAGGAACAAUGUGGCUGCAGAUGGGCGGCCUGGGAUGGUAAGUAAGAGUAGGGUGAUGAUCUCAUUCCCCAGAUCUUUAUAAAGGGGACAGGACAGGAGAACAUGAGCCACUGUUUCCAGAUUGCCAUCUCCACAGGGGCAGAGUCGUUUCUCAGGUGGAAUCUUUUGGUAUCUGCCCUCAAGUACGGCAGAGGGCAUCACAUCCUAUCUGGCCAGUGUGAAGGCACGUCUGUAUUUUGGGAUGGUUAAUUUAUACAAAUAUGGUUCCAUGGAAUCAAACUGAGAAGGGGGGAAACAAGGCAUACCAAGGACAGAGUUUCUUUAUAAUUGCCAGAUUGUUCUGUUGCUCUAAGUCCUUCAGACGCUGUCCAAUUAGCCAUUUUGCUUUAAUAAAGCCCAUCGUGAGAAGCUGAUGUGGGUGGAGUCCGCAGGAGAGGAAUUUUUGGUGCACAAUUUUAGACCACACUCUUUUAUGGGGGUCUUGUGACACUAAGGGCAGUAGACCGGGUGGAUUUAGAUUUAGACAGAGCCAAUAAUUAAGAGUUCUUUGCCAGGACCAAGCUUCUACAGAGGGAAGACUUGCCUCUAGUCGUAAUGCUGCAGUUGGGACACAAGGUGGUACAGAAAAAAUCUGCCUUAAAAUUUGGAUUGGACAGUUUCAAGAAUGCUACAAUGCCCCAUUUGUGGAUUGCCCCCCCCCCCCCAGCACUUCAUUACAGUAUAUAUAUUUAAGGCACCAGGUGAAAAUGUUCCCCUUUAACCAGGUCCUUGACUCAUUCAUAUUCUACAGCCUUUUAAAUGGGUUUACUAUUUUGUUGCUUCUGUUUUGAGUAUUUGUUUGUGUUUUAUCUUGUGUUUUUAUCUUAUGAACAACCCUGAGAUCUUUUGAUGAAGGGCAGUAUAUAAAUUUUAUAGACAGAUAGAUAGAUGGUACGUGUUGAUCUGAUGGGGGACAUUGAGAAGCUGUAUCAGGAUUCCCUUGAAUACAGCAGGUGUGGUGGGUUCCAGGGACCAGCUCCUUUUUUGUUUGAGUUGAGGGCCUUCUUGUAGUGGCGCCUGCCCUGUGGAAUGCUUUCGCAUCAGAUGUCAAGGAAAUAAACAACUAUCUGACUUUUAGAAGACAUCUGAAGGCAGCCCUGUUUAGGGAAGUUUUUAAUGUUUGAACUUUUAUUCUGUUUUUAAUGUUCUGUUGAAAGCCACCCAAACCGAGCCAGAUGGGUGGGGGAGAAACAAUAAAUUUCUAUUAUUAUUAUUAUUAUUUAUUACUAUUGUAACAAGACUCCCACCCUGGGCCUCAGAUAAUCUCUGCCCAUGCCUGCUUCCAAGUCCAACCUUCCAACAUUUCUUCAAUAAAAAUAGGGACAUCCAAAAUAAAAUAAAAUAGGGACAUCCCUACCAUACCUUCCAACAUUUCUCUGAUGAAAAUAGGGAUGUCCUAAGGAAAAGUGGGACAUUCCGCAAUCAAAUAAGGAAUUGGGAUGGCUUUUGUAAAACUGGGACUGCCCCUGGAAAAUAGGGUCUGCAGUUCAUGUGUUUAGUAUAAGCCUAAACAGAUCUGGUCAGUCAAAGCCCUGUGUUGCUCUUUUAUUCUGUGCUGCAUGUAAAUGCAGAGGCAGCUUCCUCUUUAAAGCAGCAGCACACUCUCUGCCCAGCCUACAGCCAGAGGUAGAAAUGCUGAACCACUUUCCAGUCAGUUGCUCUCAGAGCAAAAGAGUGAAACAAACAUGACACUUUGGCUUCAAUUUGUUUUUGUUUCAGCAGUUUUGGGAGGUAAUUUUAUUCCUUCUUUGAACAAAGAUGACUAGUAUAAUUCAGGGCUUCAUAUGUAGCAGAUCCUUUAAAUAUGGCUUUCCUCCUUUUCUAGGUGUCCAAUCAGCAAUCCAGCUGGUAGAAUCUGGAGGGGAUGUCAAAAGGCCUGGAGAGUCCCUCCGCCUCUCCUGUCAAGCUUCUGGAUUCACCUUCAGCAGCUAUGACAUGAACUGGGUGCGACAGGCUCCUGGAAAGGGACUGGAAUGGAUUGCAGUAAUCUGGUCUGAUGGUAGCCAACAAUAUUAUGCAGACUCAGUGAAAGGGCGCUUCACCAUCUCCAGAGACAACCCUUCAAACAUGCUGUAUCUACAAAUGAACAGCUUGAAAUCAGAGGACACUGCUGUUUAUUACUGUGCAAGAGGCAC
RNAcentral lists this long non-coding RNA (10795 nucleotides) under Podarcis lilfordi (Lilford's wall lizard). The record is from RNAcentral. Lineage: Eukaryota; Metazoa; Chordata; Lepidosauria; Squamata; Lacertidae.